This 492-nucleotide ribosomal RNA is filed under the name uncultured bacterium. Its description in RNAcentral is "partial 16S ribosomal RNA". It matches the Rfam family "Bacterial small subunit ribosomal RNA", at positions 29 to 507 of the family's 1533-position model. The record is from RNAcentral.
AGUGAACGCUGGCGGUAGGCCUAACACAUGCAAGUCGAACGGCAGCCCAUUAAGAGCUUGCUCUUACGGGUGGCGAGUGGCGGACGGGUGUGGAAUACAUCGGACUCUACUUUUUCGUGGGGGCUAACGUAGGGAAACUUACGCUAAUCCCGCAUACGACCUACGGGUGAAAGCAGGGGAUCUUCGGACCUUGCGCGAUUGAAUGAGCCGAUGUCGGAUUAGCUAGUUGGCGGGGUAAAGGCCCACCAAGGCGACGAUCCGUAGCGGGUCGGCGAGGAUGAUCAGCCACACUGGAACUGAGACACGGUCCAGACUCCUACGGGAGGAAGCAGUGGGGAAUAUUGGACAAAGGGCGCAAGCCUGAGCCAGCCAUACCGCGUGGGGGAAGAAGGCCUUCGGUUGGUAAAGCCCUUUUGUUGGGAAAGAAAAGCAGCAGGUGAAUACCCCGAUGGACUGACGGUACCCAAAGAAUAAGCACCGGCUAACUUCGUG